GACGAACGCUGGCGGCGUGCUUAACACAUGCAAGUCGAACGGACAGGCCCUGCUUUUGUGGGGUGCUCGAGUGGCGCACGGGUGAGUAACACGUGAGUAACCUGCCCUUGACUUUGGGAUAACUUCAGGAAACUGGGGCUAAUACCGGAUAGGAGCUCCUGCUGCAUGGUGGGGGUUGGAAAGUUUCGGCGGUUGGGGCUGGACUCGCGGCUUAUCCGCUUGUUGGUGGGGUAGUGGCUUACCAAGGCUUUGACGGGUAGCCGGCCUGAGAGGGUGACCGGCGACAUGGGGACUGAGAUACGGCGCAGACGCCUACGGGAGGCAGCAGUGGGGAAUAUUGCACAAUGGGCGGAAGCCUGAGGCAGCAACGCCGCGUGCGGGAUGACGGCCUUCGGGUUGUAAACCGCUUUCGACGGUGACGAAGCGUGAGUGACGGUAAUGGGUAAAGAAGCACCGGCUAACUACGUG
Molecule: ribosomal RNA, 468 nt
Filed under: uncultured bacterium
Lineage: Bacteria
Description: partial 16S ribosomal RNA
Rfam family: Bacterial small subunit ribosomal RNA
Source: RNAcentral